CCGCUUUGUCUCGGGGGCCUGGGAACCACGUCCACGGGCUUCACGGAAACGCCGGGCCUGCUCGCCCCGCGGGCGUCCGAGCCGAGGGGUGAGGACUAGGGCGUCUUGGGGAAGCCGGCCGGGAACCUGUGCCACGGACGGACGCCUCGCGCUGCGGGGAGGCUCGGGGCCUCCCGAGGGGUUUGGCGGUGCCGUCCCAGCCGACCGUGGCCCACGGGUUGGGCGCGGCGGGGAGGCCUUCCUUGGGAAUGUCUGUAACGGAUCCUCAGACUCCCCCGGGGCGGAGCUCUGAGGUGCCCCCAGGGUCCCCAGCCCCCAGUGGGCAGCCCUGUGGCAUCCACCCACCCACUGUUGUGGGGUGCGGGGGUCGGGGGCUGGAAGUACGAUGGAGCAUCACCCCGUGAUUAGGUGAGGGGUUCAGCACGCGUCAUUCAAGUCCUCCAUCAGCUGACUGUGAUUAAGGACAUGGCCCUGUGCGGGCCAAACUUCCUCCAGCGACUUGGACCCAAAAGGAGAGGGCCCUGGUGGGCCUGACUUAACAGUCCCAUGAGCCCCUUGAAAGAGGGCCUGGAGGCCGCGGGUGGAGGAGGUCGGAGAGCCUGGGAGCAGCGGGGACACGCUUCUGUUGGCCUUGGCGACGCCAACUGCCACGUCGGGGAGGAGGCCCCGUGGCCGGGAACGGUGGGGGGUCGCUAGAAGUCCCGCCAUUGUGAGAAGCUGAAUUCUGCCACUAACCAAUGAACUUGGAAGUGGGCCCCCCCGCCUGCGCCCAGAAUCACAGCCCUGGGUGACACCUUGCCUUCAGCCCCCGAGACCCCGAGCAGAGGACCAGCUCGGGCCGGAUCCCUGGCCCCGCCCCAGAGGCGGCAGCACAUGCAUGUUGAGGUGAGCUGCUCAGUUGGUGGCAAUUGGUGAGGCAGCAGAGGACCCUGAGGUGUCCGCCCAGGAAGUGCAGAGAGAAAAGGUGCCCUCUGUCCCCGGGUUUUCUGCACCUGCCUUUUCUCGUCAAGCUCGCCGCUGGGAACACAGUUUCCUGUGGACCGUGCCCGACCCGAAAGUGGCGGCUCCGGGCUCUCCCUGACUGAAUGGCCCUCUGGGAGGCACGGCUGUUCAGAGACUCCGCAGGGACGCUCCGCUGUGGGGACAGUGACGCUGUCGGGGCGCAGGCUGCGAUGGCAGAGAGCCGCCCCCGAGAGGACCCCGAGCUCACAGACAGGCAGCAGGGUCCCCCUCACCCCCUGGAACCUGCAGAGGCCCCGGGGAGUCCCGCCGUCCCUCUGGGUGACGGGGUCACCCGCCCACGUGUGUCUGGCCACAUGCGGGGUCACGCCCUGAAAUGCAGUAACGUACUAAACCGGAAGUCGACCGUCUGCCAGGAAACCGGCCACGGAGAGGAACUCAGAAUUAAGUCUGGACAGAGAGGUCAGUUUAUAAUGGGAGCAAACACUCCCUCGAUGUAUCCCUUUCCUGUGCCCAGGGUUUCAUGGGUUCUGUUCUUGGGGUGAUGCGUGCCUUGGUUCUCUUAAAUAAAAGAAAGGGGGUUUCUGGGUUUUUU
Molecule: long non-coding RNA, 1555 nt
Organism: Phyllostomus hastatus (greater spear-nosed bat)
Lineage: Eukaryota; Metazoa; Chordata; Mammalia; Chiroptera; Phyllostomidae
Exons: 2
Source: RefSeq, a predicted model, not a curated record